UCCAAAGAUUAGGGCCUAAUGAAUUUAUUUCAAUUGACUGAUUUCCUUAUAUGAACUGUAACUCUGUAAAAUCGUAGAAAUUGUUGCAUGUUGCGUUUCUAUUUUUGUUCACUAUAUUUGGCAUUUUUAACCUUGAAAAUUGACAUUUAAGUACGUAUUGGUGCAGCUUAAAGGUAGGACAAUAUAUCUGUAUCUUUGUAGCCUUUUUCAUCUGUCUGUUUGUAGAACAGAAAAGUCUGCAAUGAAGAACUGCUUUGACACAAAGUGCUUCGUAGGAUCUUCAUUUGUACCGAACAAGCUGAAUAAUAGCCAACCUACACUCUUAGAGAAAAAAGAACCCUUUUUUUCUAAGAGUGUACAUAAAUUACAGGCAUGUGUUGUUUUGUACGGAUACUCAUCCCUCAAAAUAAGUUGGCUUAUCUUGCAGUUUGUAUUGUCAAAAUGUUUUCUUUGACUAAUACGGUGUACUUGCACAGAGAGGAUGUCAACAUUGUUUUGUCAUGUAUUUUCUGGUACAAUGUGACAUGGUUGGAUUUUACUCUGUAAACCAUGGCUUUCGCCUUGUGUAUAUUGUCUUUAUAAAUGAUAAAUGCGUUGCUUUGUGAAAGAUCUUAUUUUCAAUGCUGCUCACAUUUCAGUAAGAUGUAAAGAGCUUCCCUCAUUGGAUGGAAUAGCCUCCCUAUGACUUUUGGUCAUAAAAAGAAAAUGUCUAAAAGUGAAGUAUGAAAUCAUGUUAUAUAUAUUAUCUGUAUACUUAGAAAAUGGUUGUCAAGUAAACAUUCAAAAGUAGUACAGACUUUGUAUAUGGAAAAAUAAAAAUGCUAUUGAAAAAAAUGCAAUAGUUUAUGUAAUUACUAGGCUACUGUAUAGUUUGUGCAACAUUGUGCCUCCUUGGAAUUCUGGAAAUAAAUAUUAUGUGAGUG
Oncorhynchus tshawytscha (Chinook salmon) is the source of this 923-nucleotide long non-coding RNA. RefSeq lists it as uncharacterized. The transcript is spliced from 2 exons. The record is from RefSeq and is a predicted model, not a curated record. NCBI's taxonomy places the organism in Eukaryota, Metazoa, Chordata, Actinopteri, Salmoniformes, Salmonidae.